Molecule: non-coding RNA, 520 nt
Filed under: uncultured Glomus
Lineage: Eukaryota; Fungi; Glomeromycota; Glomeromycetes; Glomerales; Glomeraceae
Also listed under: 1 other name
Description: SSU rRNA
Rfam family: Eukaryotic small subunit ribosomal RNA
Source: RNAcentral
AGCAGCCGCGGUAAUUCCAGCUCCAAUAGCGUAUAUUAAAGUUGUUGCAGUUAAAAAGCUCGUAGUUGAAUUUCGGGAUCAAGGAAUCGGUCAUGCCUCGGUAUGUACUGGUUUUAUUGGUUCUCACCUUCUAAAGAACCAUGAUGUCAUUCAUUUGAUGUUAUGGGGAAUUAGGACUGUUACCUUGAAAAAAUUAGAGUGUUUAAAGCAGGCUUACGCUUGAAUACAUUAGCAUGGAAUAAUGAAAUAGGACAUCAGAUUCUAUUUUGUUGGUUUCUAGGAUCGAUGUAAUGAUUAAUAGGGAUAGUUGGGGGCAUUAGUAUUCAAUUGUCAGAGGUGAAAUUCUUGGAUUUAUUGAAGACUAACUACUGCGAAAGCAUUUGCCAAGGAUGUUUUCAUUAAUCAAGAACGAAAGUUAGGGGAUCGAAGACGAUCAGAUACCGUCGUAGUCUUAACCAUAAACUAUGCCGACUAGGGAUCGGAUGAUGUUUAUUUUUUAGUGACUCAUUCGGCACCUUAC